This is a non-coding RNA of Paramisgurnus dabryanus, 1261 nucleotides long. NCBI's taxonomy places the organism in Eukaryota, Metazoa, Chordata, Actinopteri, Cypriniformes, Cobitidae. The record is from RefSeq and is a predicted model, not a curated record.
AGCUCUACGUGUUUUACGACAGUUUACGACCCUACCUGAUCUGUUCCACGCAUGCGCGACAACCGGAGUUUAAAAAUAGUGAAGAAAUGCGUCAUAUAACAACACCGGCGAACAUAUGGAGGCUAAGUAAUUUGUAUAAAGGACCAACAUGGACCAGUAUUUAUUUCAUGCUGCCCUUCGGCAGUACCUACUAAGUGGGAUGUCGAUGUCGCGGUUGACUGGAAGAGAGUCAUGCGGGUGGCCAACCACUUCGUUGUAGAUGAUUUGUCCAUGCUGAUGGCCAUGCAGCAUAGUUGAAGCAGACCUGUCAGAAAACAUGUCUAAGGUGCUAUGAAUCCUAUGACUAGAUACGCAUCCUAAAAUUACUAGAGGUUACGGAAGCUCCUUUUUGGAUCCAGCUUCAUUUGUGAAGACUUCAGAUGAUGCCAACACUCACAGAGACUUAAGACGAUGGCAACAAUAGAUGAAGCAACACUCACAAAGACUUUAGAUGAUGGCAACUAUAGAUGGACAUACAAAAUUGCCAAAUAUAAUAUUGUAAUUACUGCCCCAAAGCGCAAGUUUGCAGAUUUUUAACCCACUUUAUAUUGUUACAAAUACAAUAGAUGCUAACAUUUGAACAGAAAAUGUUUCCUCUUUAUUCUUGAGUUAAUUGUGCUGAUUUAUUCCCUUUUUUUUUAUCCACAGUACUUUGCCAAAAUUAUGUUUUGCAUCAUCCAAAUGGUUCAUUUACAAAUUACAGACAUUGUAACAACACAAAGUGGGUUGAAAUUCUGCCAACUUACCCUAUAAUAAUAAUAAUUGUCUUUUAACUGAACAUGACUUUAAACACAUGACUUGUAUUAUCUUAGAGCUAUUGUGAUAUUAAUAUUGUUUUGUUUCCAGAAUAUUCUCCUCAGUGAGUCACUGUUACCCCGGACUGAUUAAGGGAUUUUUUGUAACCUUGAAACAUGCAUUGGUUUUACUAUGGUCAAACUGCAGAUCUUAUUUCAAGGUUUUGUUACCAUGGUUCUACUACAGUAACAAUAUUGAAAUGCUGGAAUGAAACUGUGGUAACCAUAUUAUUUUAAAUCAUGGUAAAUUUGUGGUUACUAAAAUGCACUACUAUAUGUUGGUUUAAGAGCAUGAUUAUUUUUUUAUGUAUUAAUAAACCAUGGUUGAUUUUAUAUUUACCGUGGUUUUACUGCAAAUUAUGGUAAAAAAUUAUAGAAAACUUUUGCAUGGAGACAGAAAAAAAGUGUAAGCUGAAUGUUUCUAUUCG